RNAcentral lists this ribosomal RNA (253 nucleotides) under uncultured bacterium. RNAcentral describes it as "partial 16S ribosomal RNA". It matches the Rfam family "Bacterial small subunit ribosomal RNA", at positions 524 to 776 of the family's 1533-position model. The record is from RNAcentral.
UACGUAGGGUGCAAGCGUUGUCCGGAAUUAUUGGGCGUAAAGAGCUCGUAGGCGGUUUGUUGCGUCGGCUGUGAAAACCUGAGGCUCAACCUCAGGCCUGCAGUCGAUACGAGCAGACUAGAGUGUUGCAGGGGAGACUGGAAUUCCUGGUGUAGCGGUGAAAUGCGCAGAUAUCAGGAAGAACACCUAUGGCGAAGGCAGCUCUCUGGGCCGAUAUUGACGCUGAGGAGCGAAAGCGUGGGGAGCAAACAGG